UACGGGGGGAGCAAGCGUUGUUCGGAUUUACUGGGCGUAAAGGGCGCGUAGGCGGCCAGCACAAGUCAGUUGUGAAAUCUCCGAGCUUAACUCGGAACGGUCAACUGAUACUGUGCGGCUAGAGUGCAGAAGGGGCAACUGGAAUUCUUGGUGUAGCGGUGAAAUGCGUAGAUAUCAAGAGGAACACCUGCGGCGAAGGCGGGUUGCUGGGCUGACACUGACACUGAGGCGCGAAAGCUAGGGGAGCGAACGGG
This 254-nucleotide ribosomal RNA is filed under the name uncultured bacterium. RNAcentral's name for it is "partial 16S ribosomal RNA". It matches the Rfam family "Bacterial small subunit ribosomal RNA", at positions 524 to 776 of the family's 1533-position model. The record is from RNAcentral.